UCUGUUAAAUAUUACAAGACUUCUACAAGUGUAAUUAACAUAAAAUGUCUCCAUCAUUUGUAAUAAUUGCGCAAAUUAUACCUAUCGUUUCAAAUUUGAUAUUACACCCUCAUUUCAACAUUUUCUUACUGAGUUGGUCCUUUUAAUCUCAUUCCGUCAAUUUCUUCUGUCAAAUAUGGGUAAUUUGUGCAAAACAUCAUUUGCUUACAAUACGCAAAACUUCAUUAUAGUUUGCCUUCACUGUGCAAAAUGUCCCUUAUCGUUUAUUUUCU
RNAcentral lists this long non-coding RNA (272 nucleotides) under Olea europaea (common olive). RNAcentral's name for it is "long non-coding RNA (OEUR_LNC006709)". Lineage: Eukaryota; Viridiplantae; Streptophyta; Magnoliopsida; Lamiales; Oleaceae. The record is from RNAcentral.